Molecule: long non-coding RNA, 226 nt
Filed under: Sorghum bicolor (sorghum)
Lineage: Eukaryota; Viridiplantae; Streptophyta; Magnoliopsida; Poales; Poaceae
Description: long non-coding RNA (SBIC_LNC013768)
Source: RNAcentral
GGUGUUCUAGUUUUGUGAAUGUCUAGUUACUAAUGGUGCUAAGGAUGGUAUACAUUGGCAACUCCGAUUGGUAUCACGCUUCAAAGGUCCAUUCUUUACACCUUAGCAUCAUUUGGUAGAAAUUGACUCCUAUAUUUCCUAUUCAAGCAUAUGUGCAAGCUUUCAAAUCCAAACUCUUAGCACAUAUGUACGGGGAGCAAUUGCUACCAAUUUGGGUUUAUGAAAC